Molecule: non-coding RNA, 371 nt
Organism: Pelobates cultripes (western spadefoot toad)
Lineage: Eukaryota; Metazoa; Chordata; Amphibia; Anura; Pelobatidae
Source: the annotation of a GenBank genome assembly
UGUUCCUUUAAAUAUAUGGAUAAGUAAACAUGAUAUUAAAAAUCCUAGGAAAUCAUAGUUUGCCUUCAUUGGAUUAGAAUUAGAUUGGGAACCUUAGAAGAUCCCACACCUAUUCUUUAGGACUUGAUCCCUGCCUAUAUUACUGCUCUUUUUUGAAUUUUCACAGACUUCUCUUCUAGAACUUUAAAUAUGUCUUCUAGUGACUGGUGCACGCACUGCACAAACUGUCCAACAUCAAAAUCCAUCUGCUACCGGUGGUGCAAAACCUGGACUGGUGAGAGUAGUGGUAGUGAUGACAUUGUAGUUAAUCUGAGCAUAGGCAGGAUCUUGAUAGAACUCUGGGAGGGUCAGUCCAUUGCUUUCUCUUAGGC